GAGAAAAAAAAAAAAAAAAAAAGGAUUUUGGUUUGUGGGUAUUGUAUAAGAGGAAAAACCCAGAAAACCACAAACGGGUUAAAACAAGAGAAAUAGGGAGUCUCUCAUGAAGCCCGCAUCUCCUAGAGAUCUGGUGGAGAAAACGUUGAAAGUGUCACUAGAGAGACAGACAAAGAAGGUAAUGUUUAGGAGAGAUAUAGAGAGAGAAAGAAUGAGCUGGCUAAGAGAAACAAACGUCGUUGGGUGCGAUAGAGAAAAGAAAGGGGUUAAAAGCCUUUUUAUGUUGGGGUGUUACACAUUGCUAGUUGCUGCAUGACAUGACACGAGAGAGAAAUUAGAUGAGAGAGAAAGCGAAAGCGAAAGCAGAAGGGGAGAGAG
Molecule: unclassified non-coding RNA, 378 nt
Filed under: Hevea brasiliensis (rubber tree)
Lineage: Eukaryota; Viridiplantae; Streptophyta; Magnoliopsida; Malpighiales; Euphorbiaceae
Source: RNAcentral